CCUGGUGGCUCAGAGGGUAAAGCGUCUGCCUGCAAUGCAGGAGACCCAGAUUCGAUCCCUGGGUCAGGA
RNAcentral lists this transfer RNA (69 nucleotides) under Bos taurus (domestic cattle). It matches the Rfam family "tRNA". From Rfam's summary of the family: Transfer RNA (tRNA) molecules are approximately 80 nucleotides in length. Their secondary structure includes four short double-helical elements and three loops (D, anti-codon, and T loops). Further hydrogen bonds mediate the characteristic L-shaped molecular structure. tRNAs have two regions of fundamental functional importance: the anti-codon, which is responsible for specific mRNA codon recognition, and the 3' end, to which the tRNAs corresponding amino acid is attached (by aminoacyl-tRNA synthetases). tRNAs cope with the degeneracy of the genetic code in two manners: having more than one tRNA (with a specific anti-codon) for a particular amino acid; and 'wobble' base-pairing, i.e. permitting non-standard base-pairing at the 3rd anti-codon position. RNAcentral also lists the same sequence under 1 other name. Lineage: Eukaryota; Metazoa; Chordata; Mammalia; Artiodactyla; Bovidae. The record is from Rfam by way of RNAcentral.